This 446-nucleotide ribosomal RNA is filed under the name uncultured bacterium. RNAcentral describes it as "bacterial SSU rRNA". It matches the Rfam family "Bacterial small subunit ribosomal RNA", at positions 329 to 792 of the family's 1533-position model. The record is from RNAcentral.
ACCCAGACUCCUACGGGAGGCAGCAGUGGGGAAUAUUGCACAAUGGGGGAGACCCUGAUGCAGCGACGCCGCGUGAGUGAAGAAGUAUUUCGGUAUGUAAAGCUCUCUCAGCAGGGAAGAUAAUGACGGUACCUGACUAAGAAGCCCCGGCUAACUACGUGCCAGCAGCCGCGGUAAUACGUAGGGGGCAAGCGUUAUCCGGAUUUACUGGGUGUAAAGGGAGCGUAGGUGGCAGGGCAAGUCAGAUGUGAAAACCCGGGGCUCAACCCCGGGAGUGCAUUUGAAACUGUCCAGCUGGAGUGCAGGAGAGGUAAGCGGAAUUCCUAGUGUAGCGGUGAAAUGCGUAGAUAUUAGGAGGAACACCAGUGGCGAAGGCGGCUUACUGGACUGUAACUGACGUUGAGGCUCGAAAGCGUGGGGAGCAAACAGGAUUAGAUACCUCUGUA